This 502-nucleotide ribosomal RNA is filed under the name uncultured bacterium. RNAcentral's name for it is "bacterial SSU rRNA". It matches the Rfam family "Bacterial small subunit ribosomal RNA", at positions 28 to 507 of the family's 1533-position model. The record is from RNAcentral.
GAUGAACGCUAGCGACAGGCUUAACACAUGCAAGUCGAGGGGCAACGGGACGUAGCAAUACGUUGCCGGCGACCGGCGGAUGGGUGAGUAACGCGUAUGCAACCUACCCACGACAGGGGGAUAGCCCGUUGAAAGACAGAUUAAUACCCCAUAAAACAGGGGUUCCGCAUGGGACUAUUUGUUAAAGGGUUCUCCGCGAGGGGGACCUCGGUUGUGGAUGGGCAUGCGUUCCAUUAGGCAGUUGGUGAGGUAACGGCUCACCAAACCGACGAUGGAUAGGGGAACCGAGAGGUUGGUCCCCCACACUGGUACUGAGAUACGGACCAGACUCCUACGGGAGGCAGCAGUGAGGAAUUUUGGUCAAUGGACGGAAGUCUGAACCAGCCAAGUCGCGUGAAGGAAGGCGGCCCUAAGGGUUGUAAACUUCUUUUGUAAGGGAAUAAAGUGCGUUACGUGUAGUGCAUUGCAAGUACCUUACGAAUAAGGAUCGGCUAACUCCGUG